This 253-nucleotide ribosomal RNA is filed under the name uncultured bacterium. RNAcentral describes it as "partial 16S ribosomal RNA". It matches the Rfam family "Bacterial small subunit ribosomal RNA", at positions 524 to 776 of the family's 1533-position model. The record is from RNAcentral.
UACGAAGGGGGCUAGCGUUGCUCGGAAUCACUGGGCGUAAAGGGCGCGUAGGCGGAUCUUUAAGUUGGGGGUGAAAGCCCAGGGCUCAACCCUGGAAUUGCCUUCGAUACUGGAGAUCUUGAGACCGGAAGAGGUAAGUGGAACUGCGAGUGUAGAGGUGAAAUGCGUAGAUAUCUGGAGGAAUACCGGUGGCGAAGGCGGCAUCCUGGACCGGGAUUGACACUGAGGAGCGAAAGCUAGGGGAGCAAACGGG